AGUGAACGCUGGCGGUAGGCCUAACACAUGCAAGUCGAACGGCAGCACAGUAAGAGCUUGCUCUUACGGGUGGCGAGUGGCGGACGGGUGAGGAAUACAUCGGAAUCUACUUUUUCGUGGGGGAUAACGUAGGGAAACUUACGCUAAUACCGCAUACGACCUACGGGUGAAAGCAGGGGAUCUUCGGACCUUGCGCGAUUGAAUGAGCCGAUGUCGGAUUAGCUAGUUGGCGGGGUAAAGGCCCACCAAGGCGACGAUCCGUAGCCGGUCUGAGAGGAUGAUCAGCCACACUGGAAGUGAGACACGGUCCAGACUCCUACGGGAGGCAGCAGUGGGGAAUAUUGGACAAUGGGCGCAAGCCUGAUCCAGCCAUACCGCGUGGGAGAAGAAGGCCUUCGGGUUGUAAAGCCCUUUUGUUGGGAAAGAAAAGCAGCAGGUUAAUACCCCGCUGUUCUGACGGUACCCAAAGAAUAAGCACCGGCUAACUUCGUG
Molecule: ribosomal RNA, 492 nt
Filed under: uncultured bacterium
Lineage: Bacteria
Description: partial 16S ribosomal RNA
Rfam family: Bacterial small subunit ribosomal RNA
Source: RNAcentral